AGUGGCGGACGGGUGAGUAACGCGUGGGUAACCUGCCUCAGUACAGGGGGAUAACAGUUAGAAAUGACUGCUAACACCGCAUAAUAUAGCGAAACCGCAUGAUUUUGCUAUCAAAUAUUUAUAGGUAUGAGAUGGGCCCGCGUCUGAUUAGCUAAGUUGGUGGGGUAAAAGCCUACCAAGGCGACGAUCAGUAGCCGGCUUGAGAGAGUGACCGGCCACAUUGGGACUGAGACACGGCCCAAACUCCUACGGGAGGCAGCAGUGGGGAAUAUUGGACAAUGGGGGAAACCCUGAUCCAGCGAACCGCCGCGUGAGUGAAGAAGUAUUUCGGUAUGUAAAGCUCUAUCAGCAGGGAAGAUAAUGACAGUACCUGACUAAGAAGCCCCGGCUAACUACGUGCCAGCAGCCGC
This 410-nucleotide ribosomal RNA is filed under the name uncultured bacterium. RNAcentral describes it as "bacterial SSU rRNA". It matches the Rfam family "Bacterial small subunit ribosomal RNA", at positions 94 to 518 of the family's 1533-position model. The record is from RNAcentral.